This 237-nucleotide ribosomal RNA is filed under the name uncultured Staphylococcus sp. Its description in RNAcentral is "partial 16S ribosomal RNA". It matches the Rfam family "Bacterial small subunit ribosomal RNA", at positions 103 to 334 of the family's 1533-position model. The record is from RNAcentral. Lineage: Bacteria; Bacillati; Bacillota; Bacilli; Caryophanales; Staphylococcaceae.
CGGGUGAGUAACACGUGGAUAACCUACCUAUAAGACUGGGAUAACUUCGGUAAACCGGAGCUAAUACCGGAUAAUAUUUUGAACCGCAUGGUUCAAAAGUGAAAGACGGUCUUGCUGUCACUUAUAGAUGGAUCCGCGCUGCAUUAGCUAGUUGGUAAGGUAACGGCUUACCAAGGCAACGAUGCAUAGCCUAUCUGAGAGGGUGAUCGGCCACACUGGAACUGAGACACGGUCCAG